UAACCCACAAUAACAAAUUAUAACCGAUUCGCCUAUUGUCUCACACACAAGCUGGCAUGAGCACCGAGAGAGAGAGUCAUUAGCGUAGCCUACUGUAUGUACCCAUAAAGAUGAUCACUGUCAGAUGUAACCAGCCAUCAAUAGUUUAACAAUUAAUUAUGAAAAUAUAUAGUGAAUGUAAAAAAUAUAACCCAUAAAAUAUUAAGGUUACUUAUUCAUGUAAUUAUGAUUUCUCUUGACUGUAUAGUUAAUUUGCAUGUUCAUUCAUACAAACCUAUGUAAUAUUUAACUGAUACAUUUUUUGUUCUUUUUUUCUCCCUUUUCAUUCUCAGAUAUUAAACCAUAUACCAUAUAUUAUUUUUUUUUUUUCAACUUUAGUUUUAAACCAUUAAGAUAAUGUUUGUCUUCUCUCUUUUGAGUAUUGAUUGCCAUGUAGUCCUGAUUGCAGAGUUAAGCUCCAGCCCCAAUCCUGUACUGCUGAAGCAGCUGAUAAAGGUCUUCAGUAUCACCACAAACUUCCAGGCAGGUGUGUGGACAGGCUGGAGAUAAACUCUGCAGGAUGUUGGUCCUCUAGGUAGGACACCACUGUUUUUGUGUCAGAUGCAGAUAAAGAGUCACCAGGAACAGGUCACUGCAUCUUUUGUCAUGUAGGUGCUGGAACAAAAAGCAGCCAGGCCACAGCAUCUAAAAUGGAGACUUCUAUUAAAGUGGCUCUGUAACGUAAGAGACUUGGACAGUGGAAGGAGCAGAAGAACCAGAAGAUCAGCGAUCAGGCAGAGCUCUACUGGUGCCCCUUAGGGGAUUGAUUUAUCUAUAAUUAUCUAUAAUAUCUACCUAAUGUUCUGAUGUAGUUAUAAUUGGUCAUUGUUCUGUUUUAUAAAAUCUAUUCAAUAUA
Long non-coding RNA from Cyprinus carpio (common carp), 895 nucleotides. RefSeq lists it as uncharacterized. The record is from RefSeq and is a predicted model, not a curated record. The transcript has 3 exons. Lineage: Eukaryota; Metazoa; Chordata; Actinopteri; Cypriniformes; Cyprinidae.